CGCAGUGGCUCACACUUGUAAUACUAACAUUUUGGGAGUCCGAGGCAGAAGGAUCGUUUAAGGCCAGGAGUUUGAGACCAGCCUAGGCAACAAAGUGAGACUUCGUCUCUACAAAAAAAUAAAUUUUAAAUUAUUAAAAAAACUGAUAAGAGGGCAGGGGGAGAUGGGUUUCUAGGCAGGGGAAUAGGAUAUGACAAACUAAGAAAAACUCAGCUUGUCCUAAGCAUAAAAUUAAAGGGGGGAAGAGGUAGCUAACCUGGGAUCAGGUUUUAAAGGCUCCCAAGUCUUGUAAGGGACCCGGACAUUAUCCUCAAAGCAGUGGGGAGCUUAUUUAAGAAAGUGAAAAGAGGCUGAUCUUGAACUCCCGACCUCAGGUGAUCCACCCGCCUCGGCCUCCGAAAGUGCUGGGAUUACAGGCAUGAGCCACCACGCCCGGCCCAAAUGCUGUUUUAAAGGCCAUCACGUCUCCUGGGUUCCCUAACACAGUCCAGCUUUUUCCUGGCAUUACCUGGACCACCUGGUGCCAUGCCACCU
This 534-nucleotide non-coding RNA is filed under the name Pongo abelii (Sumatran orangutan). The record is from RNAcentral. Lineage: Eukaryota; Metazoa; Chordata; Mammalia; Primates; Hominidae.